CAAAGGAUAGUUUAAUUUUAAAAUAUUAAUUUUGGAAAUUAAUGAUAAGAGUUUCUUUCCUUUGA
RNAcentral lists this transfer RNA (65 nucleotides) under Phyllothelys sp. 1 JZ-2017. Its description in RNAcentral is "tRNA-Pro". It matches the Rfam family "tRNA". From Rfam's summary of the family: Transfer RNA (tRNA) molecules are approximately 80 nucleotides in length. Their secondary structure includes four short double-helical elements and three loops (D, anti-codon, and T loops). The record is from RNAcentral. RNAcentral also lists the same sequence under 1 other name. Lineage: Eukaryota; Metazoa; Arthropoda; Insecta; Mantodea; Hymenopodidae.